AUGUUGACGCUUUUACCAGACGACGUGAUCUCUGAAAUACUCUCAUGGACGCCGGUGAAGUCCGUCUGCAGAUUCCGGUGCUUGUCCCGGGGGUGGCUCGCCCUCGUCUCCAGCCAGGCGUUCCUCGCCGCGCACAAGUCCCAAGUCGACCCGCACCUCCUCCUUGCCACCAGCUCCUCGGGCAAGGAAGCCAGCAACAUUGGCCGCGACCUGCGGCUGUUUGACGAGGAAGGCAAUGUCGUGAGAGUGAUCAGGAAUGUUGGUGCCCUUUGGACGGUCUGCCAUGGUGUUGACGGUCCGGUCUGCGUCACCCGCGAUUUUCGUGGUCGUCGCGACGUUUUCGGUGUCAAUGUGAUCAAUCCGGCUACCGGGAGUGUGCUAAUAACGGCGACCGUUGAGUUGGAGAGCCAAGAGAUCUUCCUCUUCAACAUCGGUUGUGCCGCCCCAUCUGGCGUGUACAAGGUUGUCCGCUUCGACGAUGAGUCUUGGAAGGUUCUCACUUUGGGAGAUGAUGCCGAGUGGAGUGAAUUGCGGUCUCCCGCAACCACACUGUCAAAUUACUUCUAUCGGAGCUUCGUGGUCACGGUCAAUGGUGUCAUGCACUUUCUUUACACGUCACGGAGAUUGCCGUUUUAUAAGGACCGUAUACUUCGCCUUGAUCUCGAGAGGGAAGAAUGGAAGGCAUCCCUUGAAGGCCCAACAAAACAAGGUGACCAGUUUCAAAAGCGGCUAACGACGGAAUGUAUAGUGAGGCUCAAUGACACCAUCUGCUUGGUUCAGUUGGAGGAACAUUUUGUUACCAACAAUAGAUGCACGAACCUAUGGCUUCUGACUGACUUCGACAAAGGCACCUGGGUCAAAGCAUACACGGUCUCCAUGACUCCGACCACCGUUUUAUAUCGGCCUUUGAGGGUGAUGCACGAUGGUGGAAAGUUGUUAUUCUAUGGCUACCAUAGCCCCACGAAAACCCGGAUGCUACAGGUUUAUGAUCCCCUUACUGCUACAAGCGCACACUUCAUGAAGUUUCCGAGAGAUUUUCAUAGCGAUGUUUGUCUUUGCGACUUGAACUUAGAGUGCUUUGUCUGA
This 1086-nucleotide ribosomal RNA is filed under the name Triticum aestivum (bread wheat). RNAcentral describes it as "partial small subunit ribosomal RNA". The record is from RNAcentral. Lineage: Eukaryota; Viridiplantae; Streptophyta; Magnoliopsida; Poales; Poaceae.